RNAcentral lists this long non-coding RNA (335 nucleotides) under Daucus carota (carrot). Its description in RNAcentral is "long non-coding RNA (DCAR_LNC007142)". The record is from RNAcentral. Lineage: Eukaryota; Viridiplantae; Streptophyta; Magnoliopsida; Apiales; Apiaceae.
UUAAAUUAGCAAUUUUUAUUGUUGAUAAUUGAAUAAAUUUACUUAUGUUUGCUAUUGGUUAUCGAUUAUUGAUGAUCAAUUAUAGUUGUAGGAGUCUAUGAUGGUAAAAAAAUGAUGAGAUGAGGUGUGUGGUGGUGGUAAAUAAUCACUAGUAAUGGCAAGUUAUGGUGACAAGCGGUGGUAGGUCAAUCGUGGUUAUAGGUGACCGCGGUAGCAAUGGAAUGGGUUGAUAAUGAUGCUCGGAGGUUCAUCAAUGUGGUAUGAGUGAAGACGAUGAUGAUAUAUGUUGUGUAUAUGUAUAUUUAUAUAUCUAUAUUUCUGAGAUUUUUUGUAUA